AUAUCAAUAAGCGGAGGAAAAGAAACCAACAGGGAUUGCCUCAGUAACGGCGAGUGAAGCGGCAAGAGCUCAAAUUUGAAAGCUGGCUCCUUCGGGGUCCGCAUUGUAAUUUGCAGAGGAUGCUUCGGGAGCGGUCCCCCAUCUAAGUGCCCUGGAACGGGACGUCAUAGAGGGUGAGAAUCCCGUAUGGGAUGGGGUGUCCGCGCCCGUGUGAAGCUCCUUCGACGAGUCGAGUUGUUUGGGAAUGCAGCUCUAAAUGGGUGGUAAAUUUCAUCUAAAGCUAAAUAUUGGCCGGAGACCGAUAGCGCACAAGUAGAGUGAUCGAAAGAUGAAAAGCACUUUGAAAAGAGAGUUAAAAAGCACGUGAAAUUGUUGAAAGGGAAGCGCUUGCGACCAGACUCGCUCGUGGGGUUCAGCCGGCAUUCGUGCCGGUGUACUUCCCCGCGAGCGGGCCAGCGUCGGUUUGGGCGGUCGGUCAAAGGCCCUCGGAAGGUAACGCCCCCUCGGGGGCGUCUUAUAGCCGAGGGUGCAAUGCGACCUGCCUGGACCGAGGAACGCGCUUCGGCUCGGACGCUGGCAUAAUGGUCGUAAGCGACCCGUCUUGAAACACGGACCAAGGAGUCUAACAUCUACGCGAGUGUUCGGGUGUCAAACCCGUGCGCGCAGUGAAAGCGAACGGAGGUGGGAACCCUUUUGGGUGCACCAUCGACCGAUCCUGAUGUCUUCGGAUGGAUUUGAGUAAGAGCGUAGCUGUUGGGACCCGAAAGAUGGUGAACUAUGCCUGAAUAGGGCGAAGCCAGAGGAAACUCUGGUGGAGGCUCGUAGCGGUUCUGACGUGCAAAUCGAUCGUCGAAUUUGGGUAUAGGGGCGAAAGACGAA
This 879-nucleotide ribosomal RNA is filed under the name Penicillium soppii. RNAcentral's name for it is "LSU rRNA". It matches the Rfam family "Eukaryotic large subunit ribosomal RNA", at positions 40 to 934 of the family's 3401-position model. Lineage: Eukaryota; Fungi; Ascomycota; Eurotiomycetes; Eurotiales; Aspergillaceae. The record is from RNAcentral.